ACAGACUGAAUAUGCUUGCAUAGGCUGACUGGUAGCUAAAAGCAAGACAUUGAGUAGGUAGGGAUGGCCGUUAGUACUGAUUUUACCAUUGUCAUCUUUCCUGCUUUUGAUAGGUGAUGAGUGGACCAUUUUGCAGUUCUCUUCUUGAUCUUAUCUACCGUUGAGGCCAGUUCAUACUCAAGGAGGAUGUCUUUUAGUGCUUGGCAAGAUUCUGGAGUAGCAUAGCAGAAGAACAUCGUGUCAUCUGCAAACAACAAAUGGUUUAUCCAUGGAGAACCUCUAAAUACUCUCACACCCGAGAAAGUCCCCUGCGCUCCACCGCCUUACAUAAACAUGUAAGUACUUCUCCACAUAAGAUGAACAAAUAGGGCGACAUCAGAUCCCCUUGUCUGAUCCUUCUCUGAGGAGUAAUAGAACCAUACACAGCUUCAUUGAUUAAGUAGGAGUAAGUUACAGUUGUAAUGCAUUGAAUAGUCAGAUUGAUCCAUUUCUCGUGGAACCCCAGUCUCUGAAGUACUUGUAUGAUAAAAUCCCACUUCAAACGGUCAUAAGCCUUGCUCAUGUCAGUUUUCACUGCCAUGAGGCACUUUUUCUCUGCUUGUGAUGUCGUUAGGUAGUGGAGUACUUCGUGUGUAAUGAGUACGUUUUCUGAAAUAGCCCUCCCAAGAAUGAAAGACGAUUGGGUCUCUGAGAUUAUUUAGGUUAGGACAGGCUUUAUGCACAUAGCUAGCAACUUUGAUAUGAUCUUGUACAAAACAUUGCAUAAAGCUAUUCGUCAAUAGUCUAAAACUUGUUUAGCUCAUGUAAACUUGGGAAUAAGUCUCACAUGUAUCUUAUUCAAAGAAGUAGGCAUAGAUCCCGAUGAAAAGGAUUGUUGGAUCUCUAGGACAAUAGCUGGUCCAACUGUUUCCAAAUUAGAUUGAAAGAAAGUUGCAGAGAUGCCAUCUGGUCCGGGUGCCUUGUCUGCAUGAAUAGCUAGGAGAGCUUUAAUUUCCGUAGGAGAUGGGCCUCUGAUAAAUAACUCGUUCAUCCCCCUUGAUCCGCAGGGUUCCAAGGCGUUGAAAACAGUUUGUGAACCCGCAAAGGAGGCAGAAGUGAAGAGCUUCGUAUAGUAUUGGGAGAUGAUUCUUGCAAUAUGUUCCUCUUCGAAAUCAGGUACCUGUGCUUCAUCUUCCAAAACUGUCAAUUUGUUUUUUGUUCGACGUCCUCUUGUAACUGCAUGGAAGUAUCCAGUGUUGGAGUCUCUCUGGGUCAGCCAGAUGAGUUGCCUACUCCUCUACCUCCAAAACUCCUCCGAUCCUCUGCUUUAUAAGCCACUAGCAGCUGUGUUUCUGGACUGCACUUUGAGAUAGCCUUCCGACAUAGAGCUAACCGAGAUUCCACUGUUAGGUGUGAGAAGUUGGACCAGAUAUCAGAUAUUAGCUUUUUGACUUCAUCAUUGUCCUUUAGGCGUCUGUCAUAUCUGAAAAUCCGAUUGCCUUUUUUCCUUGUAGGGUCCAUAAACGACAGCAAGGGGCGGUGAUCUGAUCCUUCAUAGCGCAAGUAUUGGCUCCUGCAGGAGGGAUAGAGCUCUGUUCAUUCCGUGUUGCUGAUGUCCCUUUCCAAACGAUAGUGUACGAGGUGGGUGCGUCUAAUUCCCAUCCACGCGGGGAAGUUUCCCAAUUGCUUUAGAUCAAACAGUUCGUUCUGAGAGAGGAAAGUUCUGAAGGAACAUAAAGUACCCUCCGCUCUAUCAGGCCCCCCUUGUUUUUCAUUAUUGUUGAUUAUUUUAUUAAAUUCACCAGUUAGGAACCAAGCUUCUCGUGAUUGAGGUUGGAGAUUUGUAAUCUCUGACCAAACUGCUUGCCUCUUCCUGUGGUCAUGUUCCCCAUAUACAAAGGUGGCAUGGAAGGAAACGCCUUUGUAAGUUAUUCUAGCGUCGAUGAAGUUGUUUGUAGAAGAUAGUAUGAACAGAUCGAUCUCCUUCCUCCAAGCUAGGUAAAUUCCUCCUCCUCCCGGACUAUGAGGUGGAACUAAGGAGCCGGGGGUGCAGGAUUGUAAAAAUCCUUCUUCGUUUUUGAGAUAGCUGGAAUCAAUUGUGUUCUUGGUUCUACUGACGCUCUUGAGGGUCCUGUUGUGUUGCAGGAAACCCUUCUAGAAGUAUUCCCAAGUGUAGUUUAUCUGGCCAAGGCCCCUUGGUGUCUCACUGGUGAUUGAUGAGCAGAGGAGAUGUUUCUCUUCCUGGAGUUAGCUCCUCUGAGCACUUUAGAACUCGCUCUAGCUAGUCUGAACUUCGCAGGUACAUGUUUAGUUUUCUCUGAUCUACCAAGUUUGAAACGGAGUUAGUCUGCGUGGUUUGAGCUAAUUGACUGUGUUCUCCAUCUUCCUCUGGGGGUAGUUGCACAAGUGGCAGUAUAGGUGCCUCUGUUCUUAUUUCAACACUGCCUUGUCUGGGUGUAAGGUUUUCAAUUGGGGAUCUUGAGAAAGGUGAGUAGCUCGUUCCUUGCACAAUUAUCAAGUCUUAUCUUUCAUCCCCCUCUUCUACUUGAUAACCUUAA
Long non-coding RNA from Brassica napus (rape), 2537 nucleotides. RefSeq lists it as uncharacterized. NCBI's taxonomy places the organism in Eukaryota, Viridiplantae, Streptophyta, Magnoliopsida, Brassicales, Brassicaceae. The transcript is spliced from 3 exons. The record is from RefSeq and is a predicted model, not a curated record.